AGGUCAUUUUGAACGGUCGGAU
This 22-nucleotide microRNA is filed under the name Medicago truncatula (barrel medic). RNAcentral's name for it is "mtr-miR5217". Lineage: Eukaryota; Viridiplantae; Streptophyta; Magnoliopsida; Fabales; Fabaceae. The record is from miRBase by way of RNAcentral.